CCCCGGAGCGGCCUCCCACACCCGCCUGCUUGGUUUUCCCACACGGGUUUUCCACCCGCUCUGGACGCGGGCCCCGCGUUCCUGUCAGCGCACCUGAGCCCUCCCGCUCGCCCUCUCCGCUCUUCUGCGCCCUGCAGAUAAGGAGCCCGGGUUCACCCCGCCCCGCCGCCGGCCACGGGCACCCCAGGGGCAGGUCCUAGGCUCCAAAGGGAUAAGCAGAGCUCCGGGGCUGCACAAACGCAGCGCCACGUUUAAGGGAAGUUUGCCCCAGAGCUUCCCCUCGCCUCCCCCCCCCCUUCCCCCGCGGGUGUUUGACUCGCACAGGACCCCCCCAAAACCCUAAAGCUGCCCCUAGACGAGAGCUUCACAUCCUGCCGUUAACCCUGCGGGGAGAGCGGGGCAAGGGGGCUGUGAUCUAAGGCCUCAUCCCCUCCCCCUAUCCCAGUUACACAGGCUUCGUGUCCUCCUAUUAACCCUGUGGAGAGAGGACAAAAGCUAAACUAUGAUCCCGCUCCGCUUCCCCCCAUCCCGUUCCCAGCUACAUGAGCUUCACAUCCUCCUGCUAACGCUGAAAAGGAGAGGAGAACAAGAGCUGCUGCUGAUUGAGACUCUUGGAUUUUGGUGUCUCUGACCAUUUUUGCACAAAGAAUACAAUAUAUUUGAGGGGAAAUCUUGAGAACUGUUGGGUAUUCCCAGAACUGGGGUCAUUUGCUUAGAUUCACAUCCUGCCCACCUGUCCUCUGCUGGGUUUCUGCUGAUGCUUUUGCUGUUGUUUUAUAUUCCAAACAAGGAUCCUUGUGAAUGCUUCAGCUCCAAAUUUAGGUCAUCUCCGGUGGAAGAAGGAAGACCUAAAAAGUAAAAAUAAGAUUUCAACGUGCCUUUAAAAGUGACAACUCUUUUGUAAAAGAAAGCUCUGGGCUCCCAUCUGCAAAGAGCUCAUGAGCCCCUCAAGAACUGCUGAGUCAUCAAAGAUCGCACAUCUUCUACAGGACCAGGCCUGUAAGUUGCAGUUGUCUUUUCUUCUGUAAUUGCAUACGAUGUCUUUCAUGACAGAGAACCUUGAGACAAUUUCUGAACUCCACAGCCACAAAAGCAGUGCCUGUUGGGGGUUAUGCAGUC
Pezoporus flaviventris is the source of this 1119-nucleotide long non-coding RNA. RefSeq lists it as uncharacterized. The record is from RefSeq and is a predicted model, not a curated record. The transcript has 4 exons. Lineage: Eukaryota; Metazoa; Chordata; Aves; Psittaciformes; Psittacidae.